UACGUAGGGGGCUAGCGUUGUCCGGAUUUAUUGGGCGUAAAGAGCGUGUAGGCGGCCAGGUAGGUCUGGUGUGAAAACUCGAGGCUUAACCUCGAGAUGUCAUCGGAAACCAUCUGGCUAGAGUCCGGAAGAGGAGAGUGGAAUUCCUGGUGUAGCGGUGAAAUGCGCAGAUAUCAGGAAGAACACCAAUGACGAAAGCAGCUCUCUGGGACGGUACUGACGCUGAGACGCGAAAGCGUGGGGAGCGAACAGG
Molecule: ribosomal RNA, 253 nt
Filed under: uncultured bacterium
Lineage: Bacteria
Description: partial 16S ribosomal RNA
Rfam family: Bacterial small subunit ribosomal RNA
Source: RNAcentral